Molecule: ribosomal RNA, 253 nt
Filed under: uncultured bacterium
Lineage: Bacteria
Description: partial 16S ribosomal RNA
Rfam family: Bacterial small subunit ribosomal RNA
Source: RNAcentral
UACGGAGGGUGCUAGCGUUGUUCGGAAUCAUUGGGCGUAAAGGGCGCGUAGGCUGUCCUGCAAGUCAGGUGUGAAAGCCCCCGGCUUAACUGGGGAAUUGCGCUUGAAACUGCAGGACUUGAGUACGGGAGAGGGAAGCGGAAUUCCGAGUGUAGAGGUGAAAUUCGUAGAUAUUCGGAGGAACACCGGUGGCGAAGGCGGCUUCCUGGACCGAUACUGACGCUGAGGCGCGAAAGCGUGGGGAGCAAACAGG